AUGUUGCCGGCGAAGAAGAGAGUACCGAUAAGCGAGUUUGUAGCGAAUCAGGGAUGGUGGGAGCCUGAUAACAAGCUUAUCGAGAACCGGACUUCAGAGGCAUUACCUUGAAGAUUAGUAUGGGUAAUCGUUGCUCACGUUAUCGAGCCUUGAGAGAUUCUUAGGCGAAGUAUGUCUAUGGAAUAAGAAGAGUGGUACCGCGGAUAACCCGUCUCUUUU
This 219-nucleotide non-coding RNA is filed under the name Pontibacillus litoralis. RNAcentral describes it as "T-box sequence". It matches the Rfam family "T-box leader". Rfam says of the family: Uncharged tRNA acts as the effector for transcription antitermination of genes in the T-box leader family. T-boxes are found upstream of many aminoacyl-tRNA synthetase genes and some amino acid biosynthetic genes usually in Gram-positive bacteria. Lineage: Bacteria; Bacillati; Bacillota; Bacilli; Caryophanales; Bacillaceae. The record is from RNAcentral.